AUCUUGAGCGUUGCUAGUCUGACUAGCUCGUUCGUAAUACAUUAGCAUCUCUAAUUCGAAUUCGGAUUGACUCAGUGUAAUAGACUAUUCGCUGAGGACACUUUUAUUAGUGGCCGUACUAGAACCAGUAGAAGCUUCCAACUAUUGUAGUCAACUUUAAUUUAGACCUCAGAUCAGGCAGGAUUACCCGCUGAACUUAA
This 200-nucleotide unclassified non-coding RNA is filed under the name soil metagenome. RNAcentral's name for it is "partial contains internal transcribed spacer 2 and large subunit ribosomal RNA". The record is from RNAcentral.